ACAAUGCGCGAAAGCGUGAUGGGGUUAGCCCGAGUGCUAUCCGAAAAGGAUGGCUUUUCCUUGGCGUAAAAACCCAGGGGAAUAAAGGGGGGGCAAGACUGGUGUCAGCCGCCGCGGUAAUACCAGCUCCCUGAGUGGUAAGGAUGAUUAUUUGGCUUAAAGCGUCCGUAGCCGGCUUAGUGAGUCUUUUGUUAAAUCCAAUGAUUCAAUCAUUGAACUGCAAGAGAUACUGCUAUGCUAGAGGACGGGAGAGGUCGACGGUAGUCCAGGGGUAGGGGUGAAAUCCUAUAAUCCUUGGAGGACCACCAGUGGCGAAGGCGGUCGACUAGAACGUGCCUGACGGUGAGGGACGAAAGCUGGGGGAGCGAACCGGAUUAGAUACCCGGGUAGUCCCAGCCGUAAACGAUGCGGGCUAGGUGUAGGGGCAGCUACGAGCUGCUCCUGUGCCGCAGAGAAAUUGUUAAGCCCGCCGCCUGGGGAGUACGAUCGCAAGAUUGAAACUUAA
RNAcentral lists this ribosomal RNA (505 nucleotides) under uncultured archaeon. Its description in RNAcentral is "bacterial SSU rRNA". It matches the Rfam family "Archaeal small subunit ribosomal RNA", at positions 352 to 859 of the family's 1478-position model. The record is from RNAcentral.